AGCCGCCGCGGGAACACCGGCGGCCCGAGUGGUGAUCGUGAUUAUUGGGUCUAAAGGGUCCGUAGCCGGUUUGGUCAGUCCUCCGGGAAAUCUGAUAGCUCAACUAUUAGGCUUUCGGGGGAUACUGCCAGACUUGGAACCGGGAGAGGUAAGAGGUACUACAGGGGUAGGAGUGAAAUCUUGUAAUCCCUGUGGGACCACCUGUGGCGAAGGCGUCUUACCAGAACGGGUUCGACGGUGAGGGACGAAAGCUGGGGGCACGAACCGGAUUAGAUACCCGGGUAGUCCCAGCCGUAAACGAUGCUCGCUAGGUGUCAGGCAUGGCGCGACCGUGUCUGGUGCCGCAGGGAAGCCGUGAAGCGAGCCACCUGGGAAGUACGGCCGCAAGGCUGAAACUUAAAGGAAUUGGCGGGGGAGCACAACAACGGGUGGAAGCCUGCGGUUUAAUUGGACUCAACGCCGGACAACUCACCGGGGGCGACAGCAAUAUGUAGGCCAAGCUGAAGACUUUGCCUGAAUCGCUGAGGGGUGGUGCAUGG
Molecule: ribosomal RNA, 539 nt
Filed under: uncultured archaeon
Lineage: Archaea
Description: bacterial SSU rRNA
Rfam family: Archaeal small subunit ribosomal RNA
Source: RNAcentral